UUCCCCACCUCUAAUCGACAAAAAUCAUCAAAAUUUUGGUCUGUGAACUUCGUGCGGAUGAAAUUGGAUUGAACGCCAGCGAAAAUAUGCAAAAUAAAGUGAAAUACCAGUGCCUCGCGGACGAGGAGCGCCGCUGCAGAGCGUCCUGCAGCCAGUAGAUCCCUAGAGUGCUGGAAAUUUCGCGGGGAAAGCAAGCAGGAGAAGAAGCAGCAGCAGUACAAACAGCAAAGUGUAGUUGUGAUCGAAAAUCGAAAGUGUGAAGCAUUUUCUAUAAAUAGUGCAAAAUCAAAACCAAAUUCACAGUGCAAACAAACGCAAUAAAGCAAUAACAAAAACACAAGAAAAAACAGCGAACAUAUAAACACGAAUACAUCUGGAGUAGUCGGAUCUCACAGAGCGCGCGCUCUGCCUCAAAUAGCAGGAUUAUCUGAAGGAUCGUCUGAAAAAGGAUCACCAAGAUGUCCUCGCUGGACGCGCGCAACAACUCGGCGAUGAUGAAGCGGGCGGAGCAGCUGAAGCGCUGGGAGGAGUCGGACACCAACCGCGCUGCCCCCACCCCCCGCCACGAGCACGGACGCAGGAUUAAGUUCAGCUCCGGCUGCGUCUUCCUCGCCGCCUGCCUCUCCGGCGACAAGGACGAGGUCGUCCAGCUGCUCGACCAGGGCGCCGACAUCAACACGGCCAACGUGGACGGACUAACCGCCCUGCAUCAGGCGUGUAUAGACGACAACCUGGACAUGGUGGAGUUUUUGGUGGAGAGAGGUGCCGAUAUAAACCGACAGGAUAACGAGGGCUGGACGCCCCUUCAUGCCACUGCCUCCUGCGGCUUUGUGAGCAUAGCUCGGUAUCUGGUGGAAAAUGGCGCUGAUGUGGCCGCUGUGAACAGCGAUGGCGAUCUGGCUUUGGACCUGGCCAUCGAUGUGCAGCACAUGGCCAUGAUUGACUACAUGGAGAAGAUGGUGCAGGAGCUGAACAUAAACGUGGACGAGGCUCGAAAGGCUGAAGAGCAGGCGAUGCUGAACGAUGCCAAAAAGUGGCUGAGAAGCGAUGCCGCCGAGGUGGACAGACCGCAUCCGAAAACGGGUGCCACAGCACUCCACGUAGCCGCCGCUAAGGGUUACACGAAAGUGCUGGGAUUGCUCCUGGCCGGACGUGGCAAUGUGGAUCGCCAGGAUAACGAUGGCUGGACGCCACUGCAUGCAGCAUCGCAUUGGGGUCAACGGGAAACGGCCGAGAUGCUCGUGGAGUCCCUGGCCGACAUGGACAUACGCAACUACGCCGGCCAAUCCUGCAUUGAUGUGGCCGAUCGCAAAAUAGUCAAAUUCCUGGAAGAACUGCGGGCCAACAAGCGCAACAAGCGGCGACCAUCUAGUCAAAUCAGCAGAAUCUCAGAUGCGAUUGAAAAUCACGUGGACAAGACGCCAACCAAGCUGGUGCGCGUCGAAGUGAGAACUGAUGCCGCAAAGGAUGCAGCCAGUGGCUCAAGUGAAGCUGCCGAAGCAGAGACUUUGAUUCCAAGCGCUGCUAAUGAUGAUGAUGAUGAUGAUGAUGGUGGUGGUGGAGGAGUGGUGGCCAGGGGCCAGAGCGAUACAGAAGAGCUGAGCGAUUCCACGGAAAGCUCACACUCGACCAGUCUUUCCGAGAGCGAAGCUGAGAACGUCAAACCCAAUCAACAGAUCCAUGCAGGCGAUCAUCCAGUCGAGGAGGAGGCGCCCUGGCGACGCAAGCUGCCACGCACACCCAACGACAGUCCCACUAAUAAUCAAGUUCCUGAUAGAGAGCUUAGCAGCAAUAGCUCGGAAACCGCCAACGAUGUCAUUUUGCGACGCACGCAAAGCUUCGAGAAUGAUCAAAAAUUCUAUCAAAAGUACAAUGAGCUGCGGGCACGCAUAAAGGCCAAUUCCUGUCCCAUAUUGCCGGCGAAUGCGAAUGCUAAUGCCGCUGCUGCCAAUAAUUCCAAUAACAAUAAUAAUCUAAGUAGCAAUAACAAUCAUAAUAACAACAAUAACAACAAUAAAAGCGAUCUGCUAUUGGGAUAUGCUGCUGGCACAACAAAAACAAUGACAACAAGCACAUCCACAACAACAACAACAACCAACUACUCGAACACCAACAACACAAGCACACCACAACAACAACAACAAAAACCACCAGCAGCAGCAGCAGCAUCGGCAACAAAUCAAUUAUAUAGCGUACAAAGAUCGGCCUCACUCAAAGAUAACUCAAUGUAUUACAGGAAACCGACCGUUACGAUUGCCACGCCCACCAGUACAGCAGCUACGGCAAAUACGGCGCUCAGUUCACCAUCGACAACUGUACAGACCCCACCAAUUCGCAGCCAAGUUUCAGCGAAAAUAGCUGAAAAGAGCAAUAAUGGCAGCUCGUCCACGGCCAGUGUCAGCGAUGCGGAGAGUGCCAAGCCACCGCCGCCACCGCCCAAACAGUCCACCAGCAAUAUGAUUAAAAACUUCUUCAAAUCCUUUGUGCCACCGGUGCGCGAUGAGGAGAGUGAAACGCAGCGGAAGGCACAUGCCAAGCGCGUGAGGGAGACUCGUCGGUCAACCCAAGGCGUAACUUUGGACGAGAUCAAGAGUGCCGAGGAGUUGGUCAAAAAGAAGAACAUGGGCAUGGCCAACAACAAUAAUAAUAAUAAUAUCAGCACCACCACUACGAACACCAUCAGCAACAGCGGCAACGAAACAAGCUCAGCAUCAUCGGCCGCCACAGCCACCACAACAUCAACAUCAUUGAUCCUCGACAGCAAUGAGCCGCGGGACGAGUCGCAACCGCCACCACCGCCCACCACACCACCGCCAGCCAUAAUACCCACCACAACGACGGCCACCGAUGAGACGGAGAUCGAGGAGGUGGUGACCACCACCGUCUCCAAUCCUCCAGUUGUCCAAAGCCUAAAUGACGCCACAGCUACGUUUACCCUAUCCGCUCCGGUGCAAAGAUCCAUUUCGGGCGAGGGCGAUGGCGAUGCCAACAGUGAUCCGGAGGGGGAUCAGGAUCAGUCGGUGGUCAGUGCCAGCUAUACGAUAAUGCCCCGCCGGGAUAAGCUCCCAGAUGCCGGAUCAGAAGAGAAGACUCCACAAAAGACUGACCCAGUUGCCAAAAGCUCCAGCGAAGAGGAGCCACCGCAUGUUAGGCCCACGGAUCUGCCACUGAUCCCAGCUCCUGCCGCUCCCGCUGCUACUGCUGUUGUCAGCACAGAAACUAUCAAAUCGUCUUCGGUGGCCACCACACCCUCUGCCCUCGAGAGUCCAGUGCGCUUGCGGGACAAGCGGGGUCUGACCAGCAGCAGUCAGGAAUCGGAGACCAAGUCCGAUACCGCCUCGCCCGUGUCCUCGCAUCCGGACUUCAAUGCCCGCGACUCGCUUUUGAGUCUAUACGCCCGACGCACAACGGACAGCAGCGCGGGAGGAGGAGGAACAGGAGUAGGUGGUGGUGCAGGUGGUGCGAGUGGUGCUGCUUCUACUUCCGCAGCGGAAAGGCGUCCCUCUUGGCGCCUGAAAUUCGAUGCCGGCUCCAAGUUCAAACUGGAGGACAUAACCAGCGGUGGCACAUAUCCGCCAAACAACAGCACCAUUAUACCCAGCGCUCCGGCAGUGAUGGCAGCCGUUAAUCUAUCCACCACAACUGGUGUCCAGCGGCGCAUCAGCAGUGGUCCCAAUGCACUAAAUGCAUCCAAUCAGUCGCUCAACUCGGUGGGUCGCCCUGUAUCCGCGCCCAGUGAGGGCACAAACAACAGUGCCUAUGUCACUCCAUCAGCGCGUAAAUACGAAACGAAUGCAACAUCAACGGGGGCAAAUGCAGCAGCGGCCACGACCACUAACUCAACCUCCAAUUCAGUGUCUGCAACCAGUGCCAAUCAUGCAGCGGCUACGGCAACUAGUGCCACGUCAAACCAUGACGAUAAGGAUAACGACAAGGAGAACGAUAAUCGCACACAGACCGUCAUUCAGAGACGACGCAAACCGAAGCGCAGAUCAACGGGCGUGGUGCACAUCGAUAUGGAUGAACUGGAUCCCGAGCGACAGAACGAAUCGUCCAACAACGACAACGAGGAGAAGGAAAAGGAGAGUGGCAGUGAGCGGACAUCUCGUUCCCGCUUGGGCAGCACCACGAGUACGGCCACCACGAGCGAAUCGAAGAGCUCCAGCAGUAUCGACAAGGCGGAGAAUGGCGAUGGCAUUGAUUACAAGGCGCUCUGGGAAGCUGCCAAAUUGGAGAACGAUAAGCUGAAGCAGAUGCUCAAGCAAAAGGACGAUGAAGCCGUGCAGACACGUGCAACGCUCGAGAGAUUCGCCAAUGCCACAACGAAAAAUUCACUAUCUGAACUUGAGAAACGCGAAAGAAGAGCUAUGGAACGCAAGCUUUCCGAGUUGGAAGAAGAGCUCAAGCUAUUGCAGAAGCUAAAGACUGAGAACGAUCGUCUGCGAGCCGAGAAUCGGGCCCUCACGCGGGUCGUCUCCAAGCUGACCACCUCGGCUCAGAGUCAGCUGGCCAAGACCAAAUAGGCGCAGAUCAAAAGCAUUUAGAUUGCCCAGCACACCAGCCCAUAUACACACACCCAAGAAAUAAAAAUUCUCACGCCCCCUUGCUCACAAGCACAAUGUCGCGAAUAUCGUUAUAUCUUUUCUAUAAGAGCUGGAAAAACAUCGAUGUUCCUACAGGUAAACUUCGAUAAUCAAUAAUCAUCGAUGUUUUUCCUGCUCUAGAUUCUUUUAUACAAUACUUAACACACAUCGGUGUCGUUACGAAUAUUAUAUGGAUAUGUAAGCAUAACCGAAAACACAAUAACUAAAUGUAUCGUAGCUAAAUUAAGUUCACAUUGAGCUCAUUGGGUUUGGACUGGUCACUGGUAACAUUACUAUAAACUCCUUGGGAGUUACUAUAUACUACAGACCCUUUUAUAGAAGCGCAAACUUCAAAAGUAGUUAAUUUUAAAAUAGUAAAAUAUUAAUCUCACGGCUUGAUCGUUUUUGGUAACCUAAAUAUGCGUUAGGGGAAAAUGUUUGCGAAUUUAUAAAGUAAUUAUUGUAACGAACUAUAUCAUGUAUGGAAACUACAGACCACUGUACGGUUGAUAAGUACUUAUAAAUCAAAAUUAAGCCCACACUCGAAUCAAAGUAAAGCUCAUCGAAACCAACGAGAUCAAUCAUCAAGCCCCCACCACCACAAAAAAAAAAAAAAAUAAAUAAAUGAACUAACAGCAUCAGCGAAUUGCGGCCCAAGGAUAUAUGGAGGCAAUAUAUAUAUAUAUAGGGUAUCCUGCAGAAGUCGAACAUCAGGGAGAGCGAAGUGAUCUAUUUGGUGAUGCUGGAAGCUUGACGCAACUUGAUGCCUACAAGUCGGAUAAUCAUCGCCUGAAGGAGGAGAACGCCGCGUUGAUUAGAGUAAUUAGCAAAUUAAGUAAAUGAAAUUAUGUUUUACUUUCAGUGUAUGUGUGUCUGAGAACCUAUAUCAUCGAGAAGCAACAAUUUUACUUUAUUAACCAGCUGCAAAAAGGCUGAAAAAAAAAAAAUAAUGAGAAUGUUAAAGCAAAAAGCGAUGUAAGCGAAAGCGGGAUAUUCGCGUGAAAAUUUCUAAAUUGAUUUAUUAUUUGUGUUAGACCCUUAAGAAUUAGGUGAAACCAUGUUUCAAAUAUCGUUGAGAAUUGUUUCGUUCGUUUUUAUAUAAAAGAAAAAAAAACUUAUGUAUUUGGUCAAAUUUUAUAUACGAAAUAGAGCAAAUUAUUAAUAAACUUACACAAAUCAAGCUUAACUAUAUUUACAUAAACAUACGCGAUAAAAAGAUCGUAAGAAAUGAAAUGAAAAACAAAAACAAAAACCUUUACAUACAAACUGAGAACAUAUUCAUCAAAUGAGCCCUAGUUACAUUACAGAUUAGUUUAACUACAUGAUACAUAAUAUAUAUAUAUAUAUAUUUUUUCAUAUAUAAAUUAUAUAUACACAUUACAUAAUAUAUAUUUAAAGCAAAAGAAUCAUAAGUUCAACAUUUCAAUGUGUAAUAUCACCAAGGACAAGGACCCAGACCGCCAGUUGAGAGCGUCCGGAGAUGUGUCGAAACGAGCCCACGCGUCAACUUACUAAGUGUAAUCAUUAAAAUCAUCCAAUUGUAAUUGUGUUUAGUGCUGCAGAUAAAUAUAUAUAGGCAUCGGCGAGGCCAUCAAAUGCUAUAGCAUGUGUACCCAUAAACUAAGGAGACUUCGCUGCUAAAGCUCCAUGGCGCUAAUCUAUAGAUCAAGAUGUGUUUUACAACCAGAUGCACUAAUAAUUCUAUUAUUUGAGUACCUUAAUUUAAGCACACUUUUAGUUCUCUCCUUCACUUCGAAACGUAUUAUAUACAUUUACAUCGUACUAUAUUUUACUUUCGCUUAUAACGAAACAAAUGAUCAUACGCAUAUUUCUGUUAUUUAUUAAAUUUGCUUAAGAGACUUUGUGUUACUCGUAAAUGGAAACGAUAAUCAAGCAUAAACAAACAUAAAACGUGAAUUGUGUAAUAUGUAAAAUUGUGUGAGAAAAUAUUUAAGAAAAUUUGAUUCAAAUACGAAACUUAAUAAAUGUGAUCGCAAGCAAA
Molecule: RNA transcript, 6585 nt
Organism: Drosophila gunungcola (fruit fly)
Lineage: Eukaryota; Metazoa; Arthropoda; Insecta; Diptera; Drosophilidae
Gene: Mbs
Gene name: protein phosphatase 1 regulatory subunit 12A
Exons: 22
Source: RefSeq, a predicted model, not a curated record